This 117-nucleotide ribosomal RNA is filed under the name Cohnella nanjingensis. Lineage: Bacteria; Bacillati; Bacillota; Bacilli; Caryophanales; Paenibacillaceae. The record is from RNAcentral.
UCUGGUGAUAAUGGCGGAGGGGUUCCACGCGUACCCAUCUCGAACACGGCCGUUAAGCCCUCCAGCGCCAAUGGUACUUGGACCGCAGGGUCCUGGGAGAGUAGGACGUCGCCAGGC